This 1812-nucleotide ribosomal RNA is filed under the name Shigella flexneri. RNAcentral describes it as "partial 23S ribosomal RNA". It matches the Rfam family "Bacterial large subunit ribosomal RNA", at positions 1 to 1921 of the family's 2925-position model. RNAcentral also lists the same sequence under 1 other name. Lineage: Bacteria; Pseudomonadati; Pseudomonadota; Gammaproteobacteria; Enterobacterales; Enterobacteriaceae. The record is from RNAcentral.
AGAAGUGAAUUAAGGGCAUUUGGUGGAUGCCUUGGCAUGCACAGGCGAAGAAGGACGUGAUACGCUGCGAAAAGCCGUGGGGAGCUGCGAAUAAGCUUUGAUCCAUGGAUCUCCGAAUGGGGCAACCCACCUUAAAUGCUUGGAAAAUCCAGUCUGUUUUAUGAACGGCCUGGGUUUCCAAGCAUUGUGAUAAGGUAUCUUACUUUCGAAUACAUAGGGGUAAGAAGCGAACGCAGGGAACUGAAACAUCUAAGUACCUGCAGGAAAGGACAUCAACCGAGACUCCGUAAGUAGUGGCGAGCGAACGCGGACCAGGCCAGUGGCAAUGAUGAAUAAAGCGGAACGAUUUGGAAAAGUCGGCCAUAGAGGGUGAUAGCCCCUUACGCGUAGAACAGUCAUUGUCCUUGAGUAGGGCGGGGCACGUGAAAUCCUGUCUGAACAUGGGGAGACCACUCUCCAAGCCUAAGUACUCGUGCAUGACCGAUAGCGAACAAGUACCGUGAGGGAAAGGUGAAAAGCACCCCGACGAGGGGAGUGAAAUAGAACCUGAAACCGGAUGCCUACAAACAGUCGGAGCCCGCAAGGGUGACGGCGUACCUUUUGUAUAAUGGGUCAACGACUUAGUGUAACUAGCAAGCUUAAGCCGGUAGGUGUAGGCGCAGCGAAAGCGAGUCUGAAUAGGGCGAUUGAGUUAGUUGCAUUAGACCCGAAACCGAGUGAUCUAGCCAUGAGCAGGCUGAAGGUUGGGUAACACCAACUGGAGGGCCGAACCCGUAUCUGUUGCAAUAGAUUGGGAUGACUUGUGGCUAGGGGUGAAAGGCCAAUCAAACUCGGAAAUAGCUGGUUCUCCGCGAAAUCUAUUUAGGUAGAGCGUCGACCGAAUACCCUCGGGGGUAGAGCACUGGAUGGGCUAUGGGGACUCACCGUCUUACUGAUCCUAACCAAACUCCGAAUACCGAGGAGUACUAGUCGGCAGACACACGGCGGGUGCUAACGUCCGUCGUGAAAAGGGCAACAACCCUGACCUCCAGCUAAGGUCCCCAAGUCAUGGCUAAGUGGGAAAGGAUGUGAGGAUCCCAAAACAACCAGGAUGUUGGCUUAGAAGCAGCCAUCAUUUAAAGAAAGCGUAACAGCUCACUGGUCUAAAUAAGGGUCUUUGCGCCGAAAAUGUAACGGGGCUAAAGCCAUGCACCGAAGCUGAGGAUGUGACAGUUGUAGUGACUGUUGCGUGGUAGCGGAGCGUUCCGUAAGUCUGUGAAGGCGGACCCGUGAGGGCUGCUGGAGAUAUCGGAAGUGCGAAUGUUGACAUGAGUAACGAUAAAGGGAGUGAGAGACUCCCUCGCCGAAAGACCAAGGGUUCCUGCUUAAAGUUAAUCUGAGCAGGGUUAGCCGGCCCCUAAGACGAGGCGGACACGCGUAGUCGAUGGGAACCACGUUAAUAUUCGUGGGCCUGGUGGUAGUGACGGAUCUCGUGUGUUGUACAUUCUUACUGGAUUGAAUGUGCGGCGAAGAGGUUCCAGGAAAUAGCUCCACCGUAUAGACCGUACCCGAAACCGACACAGGUGGUCAGGUAGAGUAUACCAAGGCGCUUGAGAGAACUAUGUUGAAGGAACUCGGCAAAUUGCACGCGUAACUUCGGAAGAAGCGUGACCCCAUUUUACGCAAGUAUGAUGGGGUGGCACAGACCAGGGGGUAGCGACUGUUUAUCAAAAACACAGGGCUCUGCGAAGUAGCAAUACGACGUAUAGGGUCUGACGCCUGCCCGGUGCUGGAAGGUUAAAGGGAGGGGUGCAAGCUCUGAACUGAAGCCCC